This 497-nucleotide ribosomal RNA is filed under the name uncultured bacterium. Its description in RNAcentral is "partial 16S ribosomal RNA". It matches the Rfam family "Bacterial small subunit ribosomal RNA", at positions 28 to 507 of the family's 1533-position model. The record is from RNAcentral.
GAUGAACGCUGGCGGCGUGCCUAAUACAUGCAAGUCGAGCGAACGGACGAGAAGCUUGCUUCUCUGAUGUUAGCGGCGGACGGGUGAGUAACACGUGGAUAACCUACCUAUAAGACUGGGAUAACUUCGGGAAACCGGAGCUAAUACCGGAUAAUAUUUUGAACCGCAUGGUUCAAAAGUGAAAGACGGUCUUGCUGUCACUUAUAGAUGGAUCCGCGCUGCAUUAGCUAGUUGGUAAGGUAACGGCUUACCAAGGCAACGAUGCAUAGCCGACCUGAGAGGGUGAUCAGCCACACUGGAACUGAGACACGGUCCAGACUCCUACGGGAGGCAGCAGUAGGGAAUCUUCCACAAUGGGCGAAAGCCUGACGGAGCAACGCCGCGUGAGUGAUGAAGGUCUUCGGAUCGUAAAACUCUGUUAUUAGGGAAGAACAUAUGUGUAAGUAACUGUGCACAUCUUGACGGUACCUAAUCAGAAAGCCACGGCUAACUACGUG